GUUCUGCAAAGCUUGCGACAAUUAUUCAUCUUCCUCCUUGCACCCGCAUUGCCAAUUAGCCUAAAAGGUCCUAGCCACCAAUCUUUGCAACCAACAUGCACCAAAGAAGCUAGUGAAGGCGACGUGAGCGUUGUGGAUAACAACGGUCCAGCAGAAUCAGGGAAAUAUGCCAUCUGCAUUUCACAGGGCUGGGAAUCCUCGAUGCUAUGGAAGAGUACUCCUGUCGCCGUCAAGGUCAUUGACGAGCUCCGCGCUAACCGUUGUGUGCUGCCUUCGCUGGAGUUUGCCGUGCUGAAGCUCAAAUCCUAGCCGCGGGAGC
This 319-nucleotide long non-coding RNA is filed under the name Oryza sativa Indica Group (long-grained rice). RNAcentral's name for it is "lncRNA OsIR64_04g0002190". RNAcentral also lists the same sequence under 2 other names. Lineage: Eukaryota; Viridiplantae; Streptophyta; Magnoliopsida; Poales; Poaceae. The record is from RNAcentral.